This 28-nucleotide non-coding RNA is filed under the name Homo sapiens (human). The record is from RNAcentral. Lineage: Eukaryota; Metazoa; Chordata; Mammalia; Primates; Hominidae.
UGUCGGGAGGUGCCUGGAAGUGUUUGUC